Molecule: ribosomal RNA, 444 nt
Filed under: uncultured Streptococcus sp.
Lineage: Bacteria; Bacillati; Bacillota; Bacilli; Lactobacillales; Streptococcaceae
Description: bacterial SSU rRNA
Rfam family: Bacterial small subunit ribosomal RNA
Source: RNAcentral
GCAUGUGGUUUAAUUCGAAGCAACGCGAAGAACCUUACCAGGUCUUGACAUCCCGAUGCUAUUUCUAGAGAUAGAAAGUUACUUCGGUACAUCGGUGACAGGUGGUGCAUGGUUGUCGUCAGCUCGUGUCGUGAGAUGUUGGGUUAAGUCCCGCAACGAGCGCAACCCCUAUUGUUAGUUGCCAUCAUUCAGUUGGGCACUCUAGCGAGACUGCCGGUAAUAAACCGGAGGAAGGUGGGGAUGACGUCAAAUCAUCAUGCCCCUUAUGACCUGGGCUACACACGUGCUACAAUGGUUGGUACAACGAGUUGCGAGUCGGUGACGGCGAGCUAAUCUCUUAAAGCCAAUCUCAGUUCGGAUUGUAGGCUGCAACUCGCCUACAUGAAGUCGGAAUCGCUAGUAAUCGCGGAUCAGCACGCCGCGGUGAAUACGUUCCCGGGCCUU